Molecule: regulatory RNA element, 127 nt
Rfam family: FMN riboswitch aptamer (RFN element)
About the family: The RFN element is a highly conserved domain that is found frequently in the 5'-untranslated regions of prokaryotic mRNAs that encode for flavin mononucleotide (FMN) biosynthesis and transport proteins. This element is a metabolite-dependent riboswitch that directly binds FMN in the absence of proteins. In Bacillus subtilis, the riboswitch most likely controls gene expression by causing premature transcription termination within the 5' untranslated region of the ribDEAHT operon and precluding access to the ribosome-binding site of ypaA mRNA.
Source: Rfam
UUAUACUUUCAGGGCAGGGUGAAAUUCCCGACCGGCGGUAACGUUUUAUACGAAGCCCGCGAGCCUUUUUGGCUGAUCUGGUGAAACUCCAGAGCCGACAGUACAGUCUGGAUGAGAGAAAGUAAUU